CAGCAGCCGCGGUAAAACCAGCAGCCCAAGUGGUGGUCGCGAUUAUUGGGCCUAAAGCGCUCGUAGCCGGGCCGGUAAGUCCCUUGUGAAAUCGGACGGCCUAACCGUUCGGCGUGCAAGGGAUACUGUCGGUCUUGAGGCCGGGAGACGUCCGAGGUACUCCGGGGGUAGCGGUGAAAUGUUCUGAUCCUCGGGGGACCACCGGUGGCGAAGGCGUUCGACGAGAACGGGCCUGACGGUGAGGGGCGAAGGCUAGGGGAGCAAACGGGAUUAGAGACCCCUGUAGUCCCUGUCUCUUAUU
This 301-nucleotide ribosomal RNA is filed under the name uncultured bacterium. RNAcentral's name for it is "partial 16S ribosomal RNA". It matches the Rfam family "Archaeal small subunit ribosomal RNA", at positions 459 to 759 of the family's 1478-position model. The record is from RNAcentral.